ACACCUCUGAGUCCAGCAGCAUGGUGCAGGCGCUGAACGGCACUGCCUGGUUCGCGAUGGUCCUUGCCGCCCGGCAGUGAACCCGCAGGAUCUCCUGUUCGCAGGAGACGAUCAGCUUUUCCUGGAGGAGAGGGGCUGGAGUCACCCCGGAGACCACAGUCCCGUGAAGACGCGGACGUGCGAGGUGCUGCCUGUCCCCGAGAGUAGGGCGUCAGCGAGGGAGAGGGCUCGCCCGGGUACCACCCCCAGAUGCCGGAGGCCACCCUUGAACCCGGGAGGGCGCUUCUCCCGGGAUUAGAAGCCGGUGCUUCCGAAACACACAGGAAACGUGUCACGUGUCACAACAGCACCAGAUGGGCUGGAGCCUCUCGUGGGGCCAGGAAGCGAGAGCGUGUUCAGGAAGCACGGGACUGCCGAGGAGCCCCUGGUGGCCGAGGCCAAGUAGGGUGCGGUGUGGCUCGUGUGGCCACGACCUCGGGCUGGAGGAGAGGAAUAAAUAGCCCACGGUACAGUGGCUGCCACAGACAAGACCCUCUGAGGGGCUGGACUCGAGGCCCAAGCUCAAGGUACAUGCGCUCUUCCAACUUUUCGGUCUAAGAUUAUCUCAGAACCCAAGAUGAAACCACCCAGCCGGGUCUCUUUGGCCGCACGUCCUGCCCAUCACGCCCCCGGGGGCCAGGGCGCUGGCCUCCCCUUGCCUC
Long non-coding RNA from Balaenoptera acutorostrata (minke whale), 701 nucleotides. RefSeq lists it as uncharacterized. The transcript has 3 exons. Lineage: Eukaryota; Metazoa; Chordata; Mammalia; Artiodactyla; Balaenopteridae. The record is from RefSeq and is a predicted model, not a curated record.